Molecule: small RNA, 363 nt
Filed under: Pan troglodytes (chimpanzee)
Lineage: Eukaryota; Metazoa; Chordata; Mammalia; Primates; Hominidae
Description: processed transcript
Source: RNAcentral
GUCCGCAACUGUGUUCUCCCUGCUGGGUGGAAGCUCGGCCUUCCUGUCGCACCACCGCCUGAAAGGCAGGUUUCAGAGGGACCGCAGGAACAUCCGCCCCAACAUCAUCCUGGUGCUGACGGACGACCAGGAUGUGGAGCUGGCUUUCUUCGGGAAGUAUCUUAAUGAAUACAACGGCUCCUACGUGCCGCCCGGCUGGAAGGAGUGGGUCGGACUCCUUAAAAACUCCCGCUUUUAUAACUACACGCUGUGUCGGAACGGGGUGAAAGAGAAGCACGGCUCCGACUACUCCAAGCACGCCGAGCUACAACUACGCGCCCAACCCGGACAAACACUGGAUCAUGCGCUACACGGGGCCCAUGA